UAUAUAUAUAUAUAUAUAUAUAUAUAUAUAUAUAUAUAUUAAAACAGAAAGAGGGAGGUUCUAGAAGGGUCGGUUAAACCGACCUAAGCAACAGAUUAAAAGGAAAAAGGAAGGUUCGGGAAAGGGGGGGAGAAAAUCAGUUCAGACCCAGACCGGGUCAUCCCCGACCCGAACAGAGUCAGCGGGUCAACCCGACUGGUUCUCCGUUUUCCGGCGACGACGAGCAGAAAGAAUGGUAGCGACAGCUUCCUCUCAUUCUCGUGGUCAUGUCCAUGCCCUUGAUUUUCAAAUAAAAAGUCUAGAGUGAGAGAUUCGAAGUAGAGAAGGAGAGGCUGUGUUUGCCGGCGAAUCUCCGAUUCCGGCAGCGGCGACGCCUCUCACUGGUAUGGAUAGCUUCAUCUCGAUCUCAGGAACCUUUCCAUGUUCCUGGUUUUCGAAGAGAAGCUCGGAGGAGGGAGAAUCGAAGAGAAGAAGUUUUAGGAUUUUCCGACGACGGUUUGAUGCUUUCCGGCCACCGACGAAGGCAAGUGAGGUAUGAAACUUGAUCUUCUCGUCGAGCUCUACCUGUUUAUAUAUUUGGAAUUCAGAUUUGGUUAAGUUUGGAAGAAGAUGGAUUUUGGGCAGUCGACCACCGUGCGUGGCUGCUGUGCACGGCGGCGCUUGGAAGAUAAUUUAGUUGAUGUUCUUGUGCUUGAAUUCCAUUUUGGAUGAUAGAUGACAAAUCUGGGUUUUAGGCUGUGUUGACCACGUCCGCCGCCGAUAGCUUCUGCUUGUUUGGUUCUGAAAUUGGUUGAGAGUUGCAGGAUUUGGUACUUGAGGUUCUACUGCUCUACUGUGCAUGACGAUGGUGUUGGUUGUUGGACAAUGUUUGGUUAAUUUAUGAUCAUAUUAGAACUGCAGAGCAUGAUUUUGAGUUGGAAAUGAUGUAUUGGCUAUGUGCUUUGCAAUUUAAGUUGAGAUGGCAGAUUAGGACUGAACGGUGCCAACAACGAUGGGAUGGUGUAAGGGAGACAAGAAGAGUGACAAUGAAUUUAAUAUGAGCGAGCAUGGUGUGUAAUUAGAAAACUUUCGGAGAAAAUGAGAGGAAGUGUGGGAUUGAGAACUUGGGUGUCCUUAU
This 1117-nucleotide long non-coding RNA is filed under the name Fragaria vesca (wild strawberry). RNAcentral's name for it is "long non-coding RNA (FVES_LNC004205)". Lineage: Eukaryota; Viridiplantae; Streptophyta; Magnoliopsida; Rosales; Rosaceae. The record is from RNAcentral.